This 253-nucleotide ribosomal RNA is filed under the name uncultured bacterium. Its description in RNAcentral is "partial 16S ribosomal RNA". It matches the Rfam family "Bacterial small subunit ribosomal RNA", at positions 524 to 776 of the family's 1533-position model. The record is from RNAcentral.
UACGUAGGCAGCGAGCGUUGUUCGGAAUUACUGGGCGUAAAGGGUGCGUAGGCGGCUUUUUAAGUUUGGUGUGAAAUCUCCCGGCUCAACUGGGAGGGUGCGCCGAAUACUGAGAAGCUAGAGUGUGGGAGAGGAAAGUGGAAUUCCUGGUGUAGCGGUGAAAUGCGUAGAUAUCAGGAGGAACACCGGUGGUGUAAACGGCUUUCUGGACCAUAACUGACGCUGAGGCACGAAAGCGUGGGUAGCAAACAGG